Molecule: ribosomal RNA, 487 nt
Filed under: uncultured bacterium
Lineage: Bacteria
Description: SSU rRNA
Rfam family: Bacterial small subunit ribosomal RNA
Source: RNAcentral
AGGACGAACGCUGGCGGCGUGCCUAACACAUGCAAGUCGAACGCUGUCCAUUCGGUGGCAACACUGAUGAAGACGGAGUGGCGAACGGGUGAGUAGCACGUGAGCAACCUGCCCCGAAGACCGGGACAACACCGGGAAACCGGUGCUAAUACCGGAUGCCCCCACCGGGCCGCAUGACCUGGUGAGGAAAUGGAUUCCGCUUCGGGAGGGGCUCGCGGCCUAUCAGCUUGUUGGUGGGGUAAUGGCCUACCAAGGCUUCGACGGGUAGCUGGUCUGAGAGGACGAUCAGCCACACUGGGACUGAGACACGGCCCAGACUCCUACGGGAGGCAGCAGUGGGGAAUCUUGCGCAAUGGGCGAAAGCCUGACGCAGCAACGCCGCGUGAGGGACGAAGGCUUUCUGAGUUGUAAACCUCUUUCAGCAGGAACGAUAGUGACGGUACCUGCAGAAGAAGCACCGGCAACUACGCGCCAGCAGCCGCGGUAA